RNAcentral lists this ribosomal RNA (503 nucleotides) under uncultured bacterium. RNAcentral's name for it is "bacterial SSU rRNA". It matches the Rfam family "Bacterial small subunit ribosomal RNA", at positions 21 to 518 of the family's 1533-position model. The record is from RNAcentral.
GGCUCAGACGAACGCUGGCGGCGCGUUUAAGCAUGCAAGUCGAGCGGCAAGGGCCUUCGGGCCCUAGAGCGGCGGACGGGUGAGUAACACGUGGACAAUCUGCCCCCCGGCCCGGGAUAGCCCAGGGAAACCUGGAUUAAUACCGGAUGAGACGGGACCCGCGAUGGCGGGAUCCGGGAAAGGCGCUGCGGCGCCGCCGGGGGAUGAGUCUGCGUCCCAUUAGCUAGACGGCGGGUAACGGCCCACCGUGGCGACGAUGGGUAGCCGGCCUGAGAGGGUGGACGGCCACAUUGGAACUGAGACACGGUCCAGACUCCUACGGGAGGCAGCAGCUAAGAAUCUUCCGCAAUGGGCGAAAGCCUGACGGAAGCGACGCCGCGUGAACGAAGAAGGCCGUGAGGUUGUAAAGUUCUUUUCGGGAGGGGAACAACCGUGGCAGGGAAUGGCCGCGGGAUGACGUGAAUCCCGGAAUAAGCCCCGGCUAACUACGUGCCAGCCGCGGC